This 291-nucleotide ribosomal RNA is filed under the name uncultured bacterium. RNAcentral describes it as "partial 16S ribosomal RNA". It matches the Rfam family "Bacterial small subunit ribosomal RNA", at positions 334 to 642 of the family's 1533-position model. The record is from RNAcentral.
UUUACCUACGGGAGGCAGCAGUGGGGAAUAUUGCACAAUGGGGGGAACCCUGAUGCAGCGACGCCGCGUGGGUGAAGGAGUACUUCGGUACGUAAAGCCCUAUCAGCAGGAAAGAAAAUGACGGUACCUGACUAAGAAGCCCCGGCUAACUACGUGCCAGCAGCCGCGGUAAUACGUAGGGGGCAAGCGUUAUCCGGAUUCACUGGGUGUAAAGGGAGCGUAGACGGCCAUGCAAGCCUGGAGUGAAAGCCCGGGGCCCAACCCCGGGACUGCUCUGGGAACUGUUCGGCU